RNAcentral lists this non-coding RNA (27 nucleotides) under Mus musculus (house mouse). The record is from RNAcentral. RNAcentral also lists the same sequence under 1 other name. Lineage: Eukaryota; Metazoa; Chordata; Mammalia; Rodentia; Muridae.
UAGAGACUAUUAGUGUGGGACACUUCA